CCGCCCCCCCCCAAAGGUGCAGACUCCCGGCCGCAAACCUGAACCUAUUGGGGAGGGUCCGGGUGAGCAUCCAUACUUGGCGGCGGCUCUGGUUCCGGGCGUAGAACCCUCCCCCCCGCCCACUGAUCCCCCCGCUUCUGUGUGUCCGGCGGAACCAAACCGUGGGUCAUCGCCAGAGGCUCUGAAACGCCACCCGCCGCUGAAGGCUCCGGGCUGCAGACUGCCGCUGAAGGCUCCGGGCUGCAGACCGCCGCUGAAGGCUCCGGGCUGCAGACCACCGCUGAAGACUCCGGACUGGGGUGCACCGCUGGAGGCUCCAGGCUGAGGUGCGUUGCUGGAGGCUCCGGACUGGGAAGUGUCGCUGGAGGCUCCGUACUGGUGAGCGUCGCUAGGGGCUCUGGACUGAGGAGCGUCGUUGGAGGCUCCGGACUGAGGAGCGUUGCUGGAGGCUCCGGACUGAGGAGUGUCGCUGGAGGGUCCGGACUGAGGAGUGUCGCUGGAGACUCCGGAUGGAGAAGCGUCGCCGGAGGCUCCGAACUGGGAGGCGUCAUAAUAGGUUCCGGACUAGUGACCGUUGCUCCUGGCUGCAUGCCAUGGAUCAUCUCUACAGGUGCCAGGCCAUGGAUUAUUCCUACAGGCUUUGUGCCAUGGUUUAUCCCUACAGGCUCCGGACCAUUUAUAAUCCUUCCAGGCUUUUUUCCAAGGAUUAUCUCUACAGGUUCCAGGCCAUGGAUCAUCACUAGAAGAUUAGUGCCAUGGAUCAUCUCUACAGGCGUCGGACCAUCGAUUAUCACUGGAGGCUUUGUACGUGGAGCUGGAACCGGUCUUACCGGACUGGGGAGACGCACUGAGGACCGAGUGCUCAAAGCAGGCACCGGCCGUACAGGGCUAUGGAUGCGAACUGGAGGGAGAGUGCGAAGAACAGGCACAGGACGUACUGGAUGAUGGAGGCGCACUGGAGGGAGAGCGUGAGGAGCAGGCACAGGAUGUGCCGUGCUAUGGAGGUGCACUGGAGAUAGAGUGCGAGAGGCAGGCACAUGCUCACCACAAAAGGCACGGGGA
This 1062-nucleotide long non-coding RNA is filed under the name Salmo salar (Atlantic salmon). RNAcentral describes it as "lncRNA (ENSSSAG00000114189.1)". The record is from RNAcentral. Lineage: Eukaryota; Metazoa; Chordata; Actinopteri; Salmoniformes; Salmonidae.